UCCACCGUAGCUCAGUUGGUAGAGCAUCUGAUUUCUAAUCAAGAAGGUCGAAGGUUCGAGUCCUUUCGGUGGAG
RNAcentral lists this transfer RNA (74 nucleotides) under Candidatus Moraniibacteriota bacterium. RNAcentral's name for it is "tRNA-Arg". It matches the Rfam family "tRNA". Rfam says of the family: Transfer RNA (tRNA) molecules are approximately 80 nucleotides in length. Their secondary structure includes four short double-helical elements and three loops (D, anti-codon, and T loops). Further hydrogen bonds mediate the characteristic L-shaped molecular structure. tRNAs have two regions of fundamental functional importance: the anti-codon, which is responsible for specific mRNA codon recognition, and the 3' end, to which the tRNAs corresponding amino acid is attached (by aminoacyl-tRNA synthetases). tRNAs cope with the degeneracy of the genetic code in two manners: having more than one tRNA (with a specific anti-codon) for a particular amino acid; and 'wobble' base-pairing, i.e. permitting non-standard base-pairing at the 3rd anti-codon position. Lineage: Bacteria; Candidatus Moraniibacteriota. The record is from RNAcentral.